GACGAACGCUGGCGGCGUGCUUAACACAUGCAAGUCGAACGGAAAGGCCCUGCUUUUGUGGGGUGCUCGAGUGGCGAACGGGUGAGUAACACGUGAGUAACCUGCCCUUGACUUUGGGAUAACUUCUGGAAACUGGGGCUAAUACCGGCUAGGAGCUCCUGCUGCUUGGUGGGGGUUGGAAAGUUUCGGCGGUUGGGGAUGGACUCGCGGCUUAUCAGCUUGUUGGUGGGGUAGUGGCUUACCAAGGCUUUGACGGGUAGCCGGCCUGAGAGGGUGACCGGCCACAUUGGGACUGAGAUACGGCCCAGACUCCUACGGGAGGCAGCAGUGGGGAAUAUUGCACAAUGGGCGGAAGCCUGAUGCAGCAACGCCGCGUGCGGGAUGACGGCCUUCGGGUUGUAAACCGCUUUCGCCUGUGACGAAGCGUGAGUGACGGUAAUGGGUAAAGAAGCACCGGCUAACUACGUG
Molecule: ribosomal RNA, 468 nt
Filed under: uncultured bacterium
Lineage: Bacteria
Description: partial 16S ribosomal RNA
Rfam family: Bacterial small subunit ribosomal RNA
Source: RNAcentral